UACGUAGGGGACAAGCGUUGUCCGGAAUCAUUGGGCGUAAAGAGCGUGUAGGCGGCCAGAUAAGUCCGCUGUGAAAUCUCGAGGCUCAACUUCGAGCUGUCGGUGGAAACUGUCUGGCUAGAGUCCGGAAGAGGAGAAUGGAAUUCCUGGUGUAGCGGUGAAAUGCGCAGAUAUCAGGAAGAACACCCGUGGCGAAGGCGGUUCUCUGGGACGGUACUGACGCUGAGACGCGAAAGCGUGGGGAGCGAACAGG
This 253-nucleotide ribosomal RNA is filed under the name uncultured bacterium. RNAcentral describes it as "partial 16S ribosomal RNA". It matches the Rfam family "Bacterial small subunit ribosomal RNA", at positions 524 to 776 of the family's 1533-position model. The record is from RNAcentral.